Callorhinchus milii (elephant shark) is the source of this 580-nucleotide long non-coding RNA. RefSeq lists it as uncharacterized. NCBI's taxonomy places the organism in Eukaryota, Metazoa, Chordata, Chondrichthyes, Chimaeriformes, Callorhinchidae. The record is from RefSeq and is a predicted model, not a curated record. The transcript has 3 exons.
GGGAGGAAAUGAGACAGCAAAACGUUUACAGUGAAUCAGCUUAGUAUGACCGACAUGCUAAUCUAUCAACUGAUCUUUAAAGCAGGGCUCCUGGUCUUUACUGCUGGCAGAAGAGAGACAACGAUGGGAAACCAUUGCCGCUGGCUCGAAAAUGCGGCUUCCAAACAGAAAACUUGCAAUGAGACACGAGCAGGACGAAAAUAUUAAAUCAAUCUCACUCUCGCUGGAAAAACAAAAGAAUAUUAACCAAAUGGCUGACUUCUGUGUCGUCAUGACAUCUACAAGAUCACAGGAUUAGUUUGCAUACAGAAGGCCUUUUGGCCCAUCAGAUCUCAUCUUUCCAAAACUCCCAUCCUAAUGUCUUCCCAUGACAGCGUCAAGCUACUUUUUAAUUGAGUCCCAGUGUCCUGGCGCAACCACCUUUCCUGACAACCUGCGACAAUCCUUAAUUAUCCCUGGAGCAAAGAAAAACAACAACAACAACAAGAUUCCAUUUAAAGAGCGCCUUUCAGGUCGGGAGGACGUCCCAAGGCGUCCCAAAACAUCCUGGUAUCUGCCCCUGAGUGUCAUUACCAGUAGU